AAAAAUAUAAUUAAAAUCAGAAUGAUGUUAAAAACAUAUUUUAAUUUUGUUAAAGUCAUACCCUACUUCCACCUUAUGAUCUAUUUUGUACAUGUCCAUUGUCUUUGAUUCCAUUCUCAACUUCUAUUCAUGUCCUCCAUUCCUAUCUCUGUUUCCACUCCCAUCUUCAACUACAUCUUCAUCCCCACCUCCAUUUCUAACUCUAUCCUUGUUUCUAUUUCCAUCUCCAAUUCUACCUUCAUUUCCAACUUCAUCUCCAAUCCCAUCCUUGUCUCUACUCCUAUCUCCAAUUCCACCCUUGUCUCCACCUCCAUCUCCAUCUCCAUCUCCAAUUCUACCCUUCUUCCUAUCUCUGUCUUCAACUCCAUCCUUAUCUCCAUCUUCAUCUUUAAUUCCAAU
This 399-nucleotide long non-coding RNA is filed under the name Physcomitrium patens. RNAcentral's name for it is "long non-coding RNA (PPAT_LNC003920)". The record is from RNAcentral. Lineage: Eukaryota; Viridiplantae; Streptophyta; Bryopsida; Funariales; Funariaceae.